Portunus trituberculatus (swimming crab) is the source of this 981-nucleotide long non-coding RNA. RefSeq lists it as uncharacterized. The record is from RefSeq and is a predicted model, not a curated record. The transcript has 2 exons. Lineage: Eukaryota; Metazoa; Arthropoda; Malacostraca; Decapoda; Portunidae.
CUGAAGAAGGCGAAGAAGGAGGAAGUGGAGCGGGAAGGGCUUAGUAUUGAUGUAUCUGCGUGACAGCUCAAAGGUUCCCUGGAUAUGAAGGCUAUUCUGGCCGGAGUCUUGGAUGCCUCGGCAGGAACCACCAAUGAAAACUCCUUUCUGCAUAACAGCUUCGUCUCGGUAAAGGAAUCACGUAGACUGAUACUUUUUCAUCAUGUGCAUUAGCUACUUGCCACCGAGAACAACCUACAAUGAUGCAACUCGUCAAGCUACCUCUAUUUGAAAAAGAUUUAAUAAUUUCAACGUGUAAUGUGAUCAGAUCAUGUUCAUAUUAAACUUCCCUUGUGUUCAGUCUUGAACAUUUUUUUAAAUACAACUGUGACGACCGCAAUGAGUCAAGAUUAAUGACGUAAUAGCGUUAAUUACGACACAGCGUCACGCAAGUCCAUUACGGCGAAGACAGUGAACAACAGAUGGACGAGGCGCCAGCUGGAACAGAGCCCCGCAGUGACACCAGCUACCCUCCUACACCCCAGAGCAGGGUGGCGAGAUAAAGAUAGCGCAUAAUGUCUCAAUUGCUGUAACCACGCGUAAAUAAACCCGAGACAAGAGGAAAGAAUGGACAUUAAUAAAGAAGAGGGUAACCCGCAGGCCUGCUCCAGGGUUGCCAAGUGACAUUAUACCCUCAUCACGGGACACCAUCAUUGGCACUGUGUAUCUCGCGCCGUGAGGGUCAGCGCGCCGAGGGUCUGGCACGGCUGUGCGAGGACGGACGAGGACGAGGACGAGAGGGAGGUCAAGGAGAGUGAUCCAGAGCGGGAAAGGGACAGUGAAGACUUCCUCUCAGCGGAUGUACUACUGAAGACCGUGACAGUCACCUCCUCUUCACCCGCUCACUCACUCACUCACUCACUCGCCCUAUUCUCUCUUUUCACUUGGUAAUCAUCUUGAAGGUUAUCUAUCCAAGGAAAGAAACCCAGGUCGCUUUUGUUU